This 1878-nucleotide long non-coding RNA is filed under the name Gossypium barbadense (sea-island cotton). RNAcentral's name for it is "long non-coding RNA (GBAR_LNC012275)". The record is from RNAcentral. Lineage: Eukaryota; Viridiplantae; Streptophyta; Magnoliopsida; Malvales; Malvaceae.
UUUCUUUUUUUUUUAUCCUGUUCCUACCUAUACUCAUUCCCAUAUCCUUGAAUUGGGAAUAAUGUUUCCCAUAUCCUUGAAUUGGGAAUAAUGUUGGCUUAAGUAAGUUAAAAUUCACAUCCUUUUGGUUAUUAAAAUAAUAAUGAUGUCAAUUAAAUUGGCAUCUAUUAUUGGUAAUGCAAAGGAUUAUUGGUAGGUAGAUAUAUCCUUCAUUGGUUAAGUAUGGACUAUUAAGAGGGUUUUAUAUAGUAGACCUGCUCAUAGGUAGCGCCACCAAACUCGACCCGGCCCGGCCCAAAAUAUGAGAUGGUUUGAACAAAAAUAUAAGCCCAAAAAAUGCUCUUGGAGAAAAAUAAAGCCUGUUUAAAAAAUAGGCCGACCCUUGGAUAAGGCAUUUUUGGCCUGGGCUUGGCCCGGCCUGAAUUUACUAAAGGGAAAAAAAUAUCUGACUUUUUAAAUAUUAUUUUCUUGUUGUUUUCUCCCUAUUUUGCUACCAUUUUACUAUUAUGUUGUUAUUGUUUGGAUAUUGUAUAAAACUUAUUUUAUUGUUAAUUUUGUUAUUAUUUUAAAGACAUUUGUUAAUUUUGUUAUUAUUUUAGAGACAUUUGCUUGUUAAAUUGCAUCUAUCUUAUUGUUAUUUAAAUAUACAUUUUUUUAAUUUUAUUUUUAAUUUGUUGAAAAAUAUUUAUUUUGAUGUUUUUAGUAUUUUUGAUGUAUUAUAUAUAUUUUAAAAUUAUAUAAAAAUAAUAUAAAAAUUAAUAUGGGUCGGUCGGGUCGGGCCCGGGUUUUAGUAUUUUUACUCGGGUCGGACUUGAGCAAAAAUUUAAGCCCAUUUUUUGGGUUGGUCCGGGCCCAGCAAACGGGCCUGAAUUUUUAGUUAAGCUUGGCUAGAACCCAGCCCGGCUUGGCCCAUGCACACCUCAAUAUAUAGUCUUACUUCUUAAUUUCAUUGAGUAAUUAGGAUAUAGGUUUAACACAUGUGCUUCGCCGUCGCUUGCUUGACCUGGUCCAUGUUAACACGAAUACCACGUGUAAGGCCCAAAUUUUACCCGGGCCCGAUAUAACAAAACCAAGUAACCAAAUAUAAGAGUCCAAUAGCCCAAAUUCAAUAACCAAAACCCAAUUUAUAAACCCUAAUAGCCCAAGCCCACUAUGUUAAAAAAAUUUUCAGCAGCCACCAAAGUUUUCAGCCGCAUGCCUUUAGCCACCAGCCUUCUCACGCGUGCCACCACCGCUCGGGGCGCCAAUCACCGGCCUUCCACGCGUCUGACACUCCCAUGACCUGCAAACAUUUGGAAAAGAGGAAAAAUGGCAGCAAGAAGCACAAGCAGUAGCAGAAAAUAAAACAACAAUAUUUUAAUAUAGGAAUCGGCUAUAAAGCCGAAAUGAAACUGAUUGUAACGGGGACGCACAUUUGAAUCAAAGAACAAAACAAAAUUUAAAGGUUGAUCUCUGAUUUAUUUUUUUUCUUUGUUUUUAUUUCGUUCUUUCAUCUCUUUAAAUUUCUUUUUAUUUAUACUACAAAUCUAAAAAACAAAAAGGGUAUAAAAUCAAAGAAGGGGACUUACCCGAAUCGAAGUGACCGUCGUCGGAGAUCGCUCCUCCGUCGUCGGAUUCGACCCGAAGAGGUCGUAGGGGGUUCCUUCUUUGGAUCUUCUUUGGUCGAGGAAGUUUUCGCUGUUGAGUUCGCCUUAAACAGGGGCUUGAAAGCCCGGUUUACACCCCAACCACCGCCUGUGGUGGCGCUGCGGUGAAGGCGGCGAUGAAGGUUCUAAGAAUCCUAGCCGAAAUGAGCAGGGAGAGGGAGAGAGGGUAAAGGCCCUCUGUUUUCUUUUUUCUUUUUUAAAAUAGAAGUUGAAAUGAAAAAGAAAAAAGAAU